AAACAUGCAAACAAAGAAAUGGGAGAAAGGGCAACAGAAUUAAAAUUCUAAGGUUUCCAUUACAGUCUUAUGUGCAUUUUAAAUGAAUGGCUUAUAAAAAAUAAAAACAAAUUUCUACGAAGUUGAAUACUUUAAGCUAUUCGAAAUUUUUUGAAAAUGCUAAAUAUAAUUACUCAGAGACUCUUCUAGAAAGAAAAAACUGCGUAAGAAUCCAUCUAUUCUAAAAAUUCAAAAUAAACCAUAUUCAAGUAAAAUCAGUAUCAUACUGUUAUGUACAAAACUCAAAAAUUAAAACUAAAAUAUAUCCUUUCUUCACUUAAUAAGUAUUUCAUAAAUGAUGCCAGCAGUAUUCCAAUAAAUGCACUUUCAAGACUGAAGAGUUUAGAAGUGUUUUUUCAUUAGUGUUUGCAAGAGUAAAUGGUACUACAGUUCGGCACUAAUUUAAUAUGUGAGAACAGUGAAGCUACUAUUAUCUGGAUUUUAAAAUAUGUACCCAUUCCUAUUUCUCUCCAAUCAUUGUAAGAACACAAUAUUAAGUUCUCAUAAAUAACUUUUUCUUUUUGAAGCAUACAAUUUGAUUUCCUAAAAAAAAAAAAAAAAACUUCAUCAUCAUCAUAGGUUUAAAAUAAUUUUAAAUUCAACCACUUGUUUCAAAUACUUGUAAAAAUUACUUUUUUCUAUCUGAACCAUACAAGUGUCUUAAUGUUGUCCAAAUUAUUGAUUAUGCAGCACAGUGACAAUAAUAUGUACAGUGUUUACAAUAGGUGUGAGACAUCAAAUGUACUUAACUACCAUUUUCUUAAACUGCUUAUCCUCUGUUGCUUGCCAUUUAUAAUCUGCCAAAUCUUCUAGUCCUUUGUUGCAUGUAUAAUUUAGAACCAUCUGUUCUAUGUGCUUUUAACUAUUUAAACAUUUUUCACCUACCUACAAUUCACAUAAAUGGCAGACAUUCAACUUUCUAUAUAGCAUAUUACAUGAAGCAAAUUCCUGGAUAAAUAACACCAAAGAAGACUGCUACAGAAAUAAAAACAUACCAUAUAGAACAUAAAUUUUUGUGUUAGACAAAUCUUUUCAAUGUAUUCAGAAUUGUUUCUAUUAGCUUUUUUUAAGUUAAUUGUAGUCAGUGUUUUUCCCUCAACCCAGAAGACAAAGAGAAUGCAAAUUAAAUACAGACAGUUUCAUGUCCUUGUUAGAAGAGACGUAAAUAUGCUGACUGAAAAUGACUACAGGAGACAGAAUUCCACUUUCCCAUUCAAUUUACAGUGCCUCUUAUUUAUAUACUAGUCAGUGUAUCAUUAAGUUUGGUCAUGUGACCAAACCAACUUUUGUGAGGCGAAAAACUAUGUUAGACAAGCAAAUUAAAACAGUGCUAGUUUUUAUUGUUUAUCUGUUCAUAAUGGCUGACAAAGAGUUUAUAGAUAGCGAUUAUAUCUUUUAAAAUCAAUUCUGCCUCUUAAAUACUCAAUUGUUUGACUUAAUAUCUGCUACUAAAUUUUAAAAGUAUCCAUUAUCUUAAGGUAUUUUCCAUAGUCAUUUCUCUUCAAAAUCUAAAUAAUAGAAAAAAAAAACCUCACAUCAUUUUAUUAUAAACGGGGAGCCAGAUAAUCUAAAAUAACCAUACAUAAAUAUUAACCAAGCUAAUUUUCAAAAAAUCCAUAGGGGAGAGUAGAACAAAUAAAAAAGGGAUAUACUGACUACAGGUAACAGUUGAAACCUUUAAAUUGAAAAAAAUACACAAAAACUAGGUAAAUAACAAAUGACGCACAAAAGUUUACCAUUUUUUGCACAAAAUCUUCCACCUGUUACCAAAACAUACAAUACGCAGACUUCGUAUACUCAUUUUGAGAGCAAAACACAAAUAUAAGCCACACAACUUAUCAGUAACCUGUAAGUUACACAAUCCUAUACAACAGGAGAAAAAUUAAGCAAAAAAUGUACUCUUGGGAAAAUUUCUCCAUAAAGUUUACAUGACGUCACUGGGCCCCCGGAACAUUCCCUAAACUUUGAGCCUUAUCCAGACACACUUCCUAAUGCUUCUUUCCUUUCCUCAAAAAUAAAAAAGAGACUUGGGAAUAAAAUUGCCCAAGAUGGCGAAACGCUUGUUGUUUAGAGGGCAGGGAAAAAAAUGGAGGAUAUUGUAAUAUACACAAAGGGAUAAAUUUCAACAACUCGGCCAAGGACUGCAGCUGCUUCCCUCUUUAUAAGGAAGCAACAGACAAAAGAUAAAUACAGAGGGAGAAAGAAAAGAAGAGAAAAUCUCCCAAACAACAGACCCAGCUCUGACUCUUCAAACACUUCCUUCCCCUUCCCAAAUCCCAAUUCUGGGGUUCGUGAAACUACUUAAAGGGGAGGGAGCCGCGAAAGAGAACGGGGGCGGGGGGGAGGGGUAACGAGAAGAUUAAAAGAGGGAAGCAGAGGAGUUGGGAGCUGGCGGUCGUUCCCGGGGAAGAACUGCUAAAAGAUGAGACCAAGGCACAGACCUUACUGUAUGAGAAGCAAUGCUCCUCAAACCUUCUGCGUCCUGACAUAGACCUUCCCAGGGAGUGGGGGAGCAGCGGAUAUUCCGGGGUAGGAACGGCCAUCGCAACGCUGACAGAGGUGGUUUUUGAAGAAGCAAAACUGUUGGCCGCGACCGAGCGCUGGAAGCCGAAGGGGAAGAGGAAGGAGACGCGAAGCCAAGGCGGCCGGCACAAAGGCGGCGGACUCGCGGCGGCAGCGCCUGCCCGGCCGGGAGCACACCCCGCGGCCCUACUCCAGCGAAGUCCCGCACCGGCUUCUAGGAAUAAAGUUUACGUUCUCCUGAUGCCGCACCCCCCACCUCCCACCCAGGACGACACAUCUCCGCGGCCUCCUCCCCCAAACUCCACUCGGGACCCCGAGAACCACCCCAGCCUUCCGGCCACCACAACAAAGAGCCGCACCGACCGGCGAGGGUAAACAGCGGCGGAGGGCGAGAGGGCGGCGGGGCGAGCGCCUCCACGCAGCAACUCCGGAGUCCCCCGCUUGCCCGAGCGCAGUUUCUCCGCUGCUGUUUCCACCAGCUUUGUAACACUGGGAAUUUACAUCCUCACCCGCACCCCUCACGCCCGAAGAUUUUAAACUCACCUUUACUUUCGAACUGAGAGUUGCGGUAGAUGGGAUUUUUGCCUUUUCCCCAGAUGGUUGAAGGUUAAGAUUUUUGGAAACCCCACCACCUCCUUAUUUCUAUUAUUAUUUCUGCAAGAAAAGUAUAAAGAGAGUUGUAGUGGAGGUGAGAUUUGUGAUCGGGAAAGCCCUCGACUCCCUCCUUCUCCGUCUUCCGCCUCUCUCUCUCUGAUUAGUUCCUAUCCAGCAGCAGAUUGAAGCAGGAGAUGAUUCUUCUCAAGGUUUGUUCAGCAGCUUCACUUCUAGGCGAAGGCUUCAUGAACCAAGUGACGUCAACCAACAAGGCUUCUCUCUCUCUCCUCUCUCUAACAAUGAAAGUUGCUGUUAACAAGGGAAAAAAAGAGAGAGAAUUGUUUAUACCAUUUCAGUUCCAAUAAUAAAUGACCUAUCAGCUCCUAAAGGAGCUAAGGGAGGGGGUUGCUGCUUCUUUCCAAGAAUACUGUAGCUUUGAGUUUGCACCGUUCCUUGUCCCAGGAAAAAGUUAAGCAACUUAAAAUGUUUUGUUUUGCUUUUAAAGAAGACAGGACAGAAAAUGGGACUUAAAACUUAGUUUUUUAAAAACAAAAGCUACAGAGUAGGGAGCAUAGGUCAACUACCAUCUCCACCUAAACUUUUUUUUGUUCCUAAACUCAGAAUUCUACAAACCAAAUAAAUUAAUAUGCCGAGAUUUCGCGGAUGUUAAAACUCAAAAAGCAGGAUGCAAGAUGGUCCCGGGGUAAAAUUCUACUGCCUUUCUACGAACAAGUUAAACUGGCUGUAAUGUUUACGCACUAAGUUAAAAUAAAAUUUAAAUAAAAGACGUUAAAA
Molecule: long non-coding RNA, 3951 nt
Organism: Cercocebus atys (sooty mangabey)
Lineage: Eukaryota; Metazoa; Chordata; Mammalia; Primates; Cercopithecidae
Exons: 2
Source: RefSeq, a predicted model, not a curated record